RNAcentral lists this unclassified non-coding RNA (569 nucleotides) under Bombus terrestris (buff-tailed bumblebee). Its description in RNAcentral is "misc RNA ENSBTSG00005027706.1". Lineage: Eukaryota; Metazoa; Arthropoda; Insecta; Hymenoptera; Apidae. The record is from RNAcentral.
CAUCAGCACGUCAUCAUCGACGCCGAGUGUGUACAACACACGACCCGGCACUUUGCCGCCCGCCUCACGCACCGAUCCUUUCCUCUCUCUUCCAAACUUCCUCUUUUUUCUCUUCUUUUGCUUGAUUAUAUACGUACACAGCUACAUUUUGUUCCGUGGCCUCUCACGUUGCGCGUGUACGGGCCAAGACCUGCAUUUUGCCUCGUUUCGACCAACAGCUGUGACACCCAGAGGACCUGUCGUCUCGUCUGGAAGAACGAUGGCGCGGAAGUGUGUGAAACGUAAGCGAUCUCUCUGUACCGUGGAAACACCGUUGGAAAGUCGGUUCUGGACGCGAUCAACAGCGAAAGCAUGGAACAGAGCGGGCAAAGCUGAGGCGCAAAAUGUCGAAUCGGGUGAAAGCCGAGUAUCAACGCUUGCGACGUGAUCCGGAUCGAUGCCGAUCUACCGGUGUGUGGACGAUCGAUUUCACGGAGAUUACGAAACGGAUGUGUUCGAAUUCGAGCCACGUACCACGCUGAGUCGAACAACUCCUGGAGGAAAUCUUUGAGGCUUGACUAUCAUCCAAG